GCGGGUGCGCCUUCCGUCCUGCCACGGCUGAGUCGGUACCGACACCCCUUCCAGGCUGUGUGGGGCCCAGGGCCCCCACACCCCUGGCAGCUGGUUUGUGUCUCCAGCCCGAGUUACAAGGUAACUGCAUUCAAACAUGGAUCUGAACAGGCAGCGGGGACAGAGCAGCGGUGAAGACAGAGGAAGAGCCCAAGUUCGGUUCUGAGUCAGCGCGAACCUCCCCGAGAGGCAGCGAGAGUCCAGGGGAGGCAGAUGCCCAGGUCUGUGCCUCAGACAGACCCUCCGGAAAGUGGGCGCAACUCCUAAGCACUGGGUCAGGUGAUGUCACCCAGCCAUUGUCUCUGAUGUGUGAGGAGAUGAAAAACUUAGGCGGUUUUACAGGCUGUCUGAGGAAUUUUCGACCUAUUUUCUGUUGAAGGGUAUUCGCUGAAGUAUAUCAGUGCUGGAGACACUUGGACGCAUCCUGAAUUGAUCCUGAAGAAACGGCAACUUGGACAGACAGCAUGACAAUUUCUGGGAUUUAUUCUGAAAUAAGACGCUAUGAAUCUUGACCAAAAUAAUCUUAAUACUUAAGAUGUUUCCUAUGGACUCACGUAUCUGUUGCUUCACGAAAAAAAAAAUCCAGAUUAAAAUGACUGAAAUGAGCUUUUUCAUCCCUGUGGGAGGAUUGGGAGUCCUCGCUGCACGGGUGGGCAGUGUGACCGCGGAGCAGACGUCACCGGGUCAUUUGGGGAAGGGGGACCCGCCGUGCACCUGCUCAUCGCCGCGACAGGCCAGCGUGGACUGCACAUCUACCCUUUCCUCACAACCAAGUAUUUCGAAAUCACAGCAUGAGUGGCCCUGCUGCUACAGCCCAGCGGGAGAAAAUGCCGGAAGUCUGGACACCUUUCUGAGGACUCAGAGGUGGCACGUCCUCAGUGCUGACCCAUCCACCCAGACGCAGGUGAGAAGAAAGUUGGCUGAAGGCACGGCUGCAGGAGACAGCUCUUUCUGCCUUCCGGCCGUCCAGUGGAAAUGCCUUUUCUCUGAGACAGCCACCUGCUGAGAAUGUCUGACUUCAUCCACCACUCGGUUGUCCUCGUCUCUAACCCCCCUUGAUGUUUAACUGGAGAAGAAAUUCCCUUAAAGGACCAACAUAUUUCUGGAGGAUUACACUUGUAACCUGGAGUCCUUCAAGGACCGUAUGUCACCAAAACCAAAACAAAAGUCUUCUCCUGUGAAAACUGUGACCUCAGGAAGGAGAGGGAAGCUUAGAUCACAAAACAUUUAAAAUUAAAUUAAAAUUAAAAUUAGAUUAAUCCACCUAAUGAGAGGAUUAGUCCAUCCUCUUAUGGGUAUUGGUUACUUAGUCAUACAACGUCGUGCUGCCUCGUGCUGGCUCAACAGCACCCCGGUAAAAUCACACAAGUUCAUGCCAAGCAGCAACGAUGGCAAAGAAGUUACCGAUAGACACUGGGCUUUUGGCCCACAGUUCUGUCCGGGUGUUGGCUGUGCCGUGCUGUGUCUGGGUGGAGGGGAGGGGGC
RNAcentral lists this long non-coding RNA (1524 nucleotides) under Felis catus (domestic cat). RNAcentral's name for it is "lncRNA (ENSFCAG00000041894.2)". The record is from RNAcentral. Lineage: Eukaryota; Metazoa; Chordata; Mammalia; Carnivora; Felidae.